RNAcentral lists this ribosomal RNA (406 nucleotides) under uncultured bacterium. Its description in RNAcentral is "partial 16S ribosomal RNA". It matches the Rfam family "Bacterial small subunit ribosomal RNA", at positions 29 to 526 of the family's 1533-position model. The record is from RNAcentral.
AUUGAACGCUGGCGGCAGGCCUAACACAUGCAAGUCGAACGAGUGGCGGACGGGUGAGUAAUGUCUGGGAAACUGCCUGAUGGAGGGGGAUAACUACUGGAAACGGUAGCUAAUACCGCAUAACAUCGGAUGUGACCAGGUGGGAUUAGCUAGUAGGGGGGGAAAAGGCUCACCUAGGCGACGAUCCCUAGCUGGUCUGAGAGGAUGACCGGCCAAACUGGGACUGAGACACGGUCCAGACUCCUACGGGAGGCAGCAGUGGGGAAUAUUUGACAAUGGGCGAAAGCCUGAUGGAGCCAUGCCGCGUGUAGGAAGAAGGCCUUCGGGUUGUAAAGUACUUUCAGCGGGGAGGCGGUACCCGAAGAGAAAGCAACGGCUAACUCCGUGCCAGCAGCCGCGGUAAUUC